Molecule: ribosomal RNA, 253 nt
Filed under: uncultured bacterium
Lineage: Bacteria
Description: partial 16S ribosomal RNA
Rfam family: Bacterial small subunit ribosomal RNA
Source: RNAcentral
UACGUAGGGUGCAAGCGUUGUCCGGAAUUAUUGGGCGUAAAGAGCUCGUAGGCGGUUUGUCGCGUCUGCUGUGAAAACUCGGGGCUUAACCCUGGGCCUGCAGUGGGUACGGGCAGACUAGAGUGUGGUAGGGGAGACUGGAAUUCCUGGUGUAGCGGUGAAAUGCGCAGAUAUCAGGAGGAACACCGAUGGCGAAGGCAGGUCUCUGGGCCACUACUGACGCUGAGAAGCGAAAGCAUGGGGAGCGGACAGG